RNAcentral lists this ribosomal RNA (306 nucleotides) under Triticum aestivum (bread wheat). RNAcentral describes it as "partial small subunit ribosomal RNA". Lineage: Eukaryota; Viridiplantae; Streptophyta; Magnoliopsida; Poales; Poaceae. The record is from RNAcentral.
AUGCUUUGCGGUGACUUCAACCUCAUCCUCUGCUCCGAGGACAAGAAUACGAGCAACCUCAAUAGACGCAUGAUGGGCAAAUUUCGCCGCCUAGUCAACGAUCUCGCACUCAAGGAGGUAUACCUCAACGUGCGAAGAUACACGUGGUCAAACGAGCAAUCACCACCGACCCUGGUGCACCUCGAUCGUGUGUUGUGCACCUCGGACUGGGAGGACGGGCACAACAAAUGCCACCUGAGGUGCCUCGCGUCUGUUGUGCCAGAUCAUUGCCCCUUGCUGCUGGAUUGCGCCCGUGAUGCACCGUGU